AAGUCGUAACAAGGUUUCCGUAGGUGAACCUGCGGAAGGAUCAUUACCGAAUGACGUGCGUCCUGGUUGUGGUAGACCAUUUCCUCCGAUCAGAUUUGGUCAGAUGUCGGACCAGCCAGGAUUUGGUCUACCAUGCCUUUCAUUCACCAAACAAACCUGUCGUUGCAUGUGUGGCAUUAAAGUAUAUAUAAAUAUAACUUUCAACAACGGAUCUCUUGGCUCUC
This 224-nucleotide unclassified non-coding RNA is filed under the name fungal sp. Its description in RNAcentral is "partial internal transcribed spacer region". The stretch from base 1 to 46 matches the Rfam family "Eukaryotic small subunit ribosomal RNA", at positions 1786 to 1831 of the family's 1831-position model. RNAcentral also lists the same sequence under 1 other name. Lineage: Eukaryota; Fungi. The record is from RNAcentral.